This 117-nucleotide ribosomal RNA is filed under the name Trachidermus fasciatus (roughskin sculpin). RNAcentral describes it as "partial 16S ribosomal RNA". The record is from RNAcentral. Lineage: Eukaryota; Metazoa; Chordata; Actinopteri; Perciformes; Cottidae.
CGCCCAACAGCUAGCCCAAAAAACCAACACCAACAAACCCUUAUUAAUAACCCCUAAGUACCCCAGUAUUUAAUUUUAACAAACCAUUUUUCCUCCCUAGUAUAGGUGAUAGAAAAG